Molecule: ribosomal RNA, 376 nt
Filed under: Clostridioides difficile
Lineage: Bacteria; Bacillati; Bacillota; Clostridia; Peptostreptococcales; Peptostreptococcaceae
Description: bacterial LSU rRNA
Rfam family: Bacterial large subunit ribosomal RNA
Source: RNAcentral
ACUACAUGUACAGGAUAGGUGGGAGGCUUUGAAACCAGGACGCCAGUUUUGGCGGAGCCAUCCUUGGGAUACCACCCUUGUAGUACUGGGACUCUAACCAUAGGCCAUGAAUCUGGUCUUGGGACACUGUCAGGUGGGCAGUUUGACUGGGGCGGUCGCCUCCCAAAAGGUAACGGAGGCGCUCAAAGGUUCUCGCAGUACGGUCGGAAAUCGUACGUAGAGUGUAAAGGCAAGAGAGAGCUUGAUUGCAAGACAUACAGGUCGAGCAAGGAUGAAAAUCGGACUUAGUGCGCCGGUGGGUCUGCGUGGAAGGGCCAUCCACCAACGGAUAAAGGCUCCGCUGGGGAUAACAGGCUUAUCUCCCCCAAGAGUCCAC